AGGUGAGAUUUUUUUAUGUGUUCAAAUGUUGCUCUUUAUUGUAAAAAUCAUUCCAUGACCUAUAUAUUCUUUUUCUGGCAAAGCUAACAGGGAAAAAAGAAAACACAGAUUUAAUGUCUCCUGAUAGUACAUGUUAGAAAGAUGAAUGUGGUUUAACUGGAAACUCAAAUAUCAGGAUUAGACUGUUAAAGCUGGUAGAUGGGGAAAAUCUUUAGGCAGAGAAUUAUGGGGCAAACAGUGCUGUCACCAUUCAACUAGUCUUGAUUUAGUAUUCUAAACAGCAACAAUGACAUCACACUGCUGACAGUACCUGUUGGAACAUGCAAUAGUUCUUUUUUGGUGUGAGAGUUUCCAGUUUCAGAACAUGGAAAUUGUAAGGUUUGGGUAUAUGAAAGUUGUCUUACUAUUUAUUUUUGCACUGGAUCUGGCUGAUAAUGUAGUUUUCUGUGAUGUACCAACAGCUUUGAGGAAGUCAUGCUUAUUAGCUAGAAUCUUCUUAGUUUUCCCCAGAUUUUCUCUAGUCAUGUUAUGACAGCAUUUAAACUAAAUCCGAAACUUCUGGGCUAGGGAAAUGGAUGUUUAUGCUCUUUUUACUCCCUUGAAAUAGUGAAUUUUUUUUUUUUUUUUCAUGAGAAGAUAUGUUUUUAUAACUGAGGUUAGGAGGGGGCAGUGUUCAGAACUACAGCUUCUGGCAAAAGACAGGAACUGAAGUCUGAUAUGCUGGCAGUGCUAUUCCCCUGUCUUUUUAAAGUCCUCAUCAUCUACUGGUUUAACAUCCCAGAAGCCUUACUGCUCAAGCAAUUGGCUGGUUGCCAUAGAACCAUUAAGAUAGUUUAAUGGAAAUGGCAAGGUGCUUGUUUCUUGUUCCCUGAUGAGAUAACAGAUUUCUAUAAAUUAUAAUUUGAUAUUCUUUAAUUAUUUUAUGUUAGCAGGUAAUCUUUCUGUAUAUCUCAUCUGUUUAGCAUACUUACAGUUUGAUUUU
Molecule: long non-coding RNA, 982 nt
Organism: Pipistrellus kuhlii (Kuhl's pipistrelle)
Lineage: Eukaryota; Metazoa; Chordata; Mammalia; Chiroptera; Vespertilionidae
Exons: 2
Source: RefSeq, a predicted model, not a curated record